Long non-coding RNA from Syngnathus typhle (broad-nosed pipefish), 1399 nucleotides. RefSeq lists it as uncharacterized. The record is from RefSeq and is a predicted model, not a curated record. The transcript is spliced from 2 exons. Lineage: Eukaryota; Metazoa; Chordata; Actinopteri; Syngnathiformes; Syngnathidae.
AGGUGGCCGGGAAGAUGAGCGGCACGUAGACCAGCAUGUAGACGAUGGACAGCCAAUCCACCUUGUCAUUGCUCACCCGGUAGAAGUGCGUGAACACGUUGGCCACGAUCCCGUACUGGAUCCACUGGAACGCGUUGAUGAGUAGCAUCGCGUCGCGUUCGUCCGCAACCUCCUCCGCGUCCCCGGCGCCGCGGGACCCGAGGCUGCCUUGGAGCGCCUCCUCCUCCAGCUUGGUGAUGCGGUCAGGUGGAAAGGCGGCAUCCGCGGCCACGUGCUCGUGCGCCAGCUCCGCCGCCACCAUUGCAUCUAUUUUUUUUCCUUUUUUUUUUUUGAUUAAAUCAACAGGAAGCGGCGUGCUUCCUUGUCACGACGGUACAUCGAGUGAGCCGACAAUUUCCUGGCAGAGGAGGCCCGCCUUGGUUCUUUGUUAUUGGAGGAGGAUGGCCCCACGCCGCCUAAGCCAAUGAGAACAGCAGUGGCGAGACACGCACUCGCUCACGCGCAAGGUUGAACUUGAUAGGAGGAGGAAGUGUCAUUUCUAUCAUCAGGUAUUGUCCAGUCUGUGUGCAGGUGUUCCUUGUCCUGCACAGCUUCAGUCCAGACUGUGCAGAAGCUAGGGCUGCUAAUUUCUAGGCAGACAAUGUCAAUUGAAAGCGGGAGCUGCUCCGUAUGCCCCCGACAUUGGCUAAUCCUAAUCCUGACUGGCUCGUGUGCCGGGGAAUCCUUUGAGCCCGUCGCCCCUGCAAAGUCUCCUGCAAUGGAGGCCUCAAGAGCUUUGCCGUCCGGCACAUGACAGCAAGUCUACACAAAGGCCCAUCCAACUUUGUCAUUGUCGUGGGGCUCCUCAGGUGUCUCAGCGCCAUGGCAACGGCGGCAUCUCCAUUCCGGGAACAUAGAAUGUGGGCCGGAAACUUUCCAAAACAAACAAGUGCAACGGGGCGGAGAUGCUCCAGGAUGUCGACGGGCUGCCGGGCGGAGUCGGACGCCCGCAGAGCCUGGGAAAGAGUCCGGGGAAAAGAUUUGCGGGCGCACCUGCGCUGCAGCCCGGACUGACUGUCUGACCUCUGACACACAAGGCUUCCUCAGCACCACAGCCUCCGUUAUCUCCCCUUUCACAUAGUGCCGCCACGCUGAUCCUUUACAACAACAAGCACCAUAUUUGACAUUCCUGCUGUGGCGCCGUAUAGACAAUGUGGACGCUCGUGGGUCAAUAAGGCUGCAGCAAACUACGGCCAAGAGUAAAUCUUUACAAGGAUGAUUAGAAAGGAAAAAUGAGUUAUAAUCUGAUUAUUCUGUUCCAAGUCAUGUGACUGAUAGUUUAUGUUUUCUUCAUACGUGUGCGUUUUGUGUGCAUGGGUGAUUAUGGCCUUACAAUAAAAAAGAGAGAAUUUACAAUCGA